GCUGAGUAGCUAUGUACGGACAGGAUAAACGCUGAAAGCAUCUAAGCGUGAAACCUUCCUCAAGAUGAGUUUACUUUUAAGGGCCGUCAAAGACUAUGACGUUGAUAGGCUACAGGUGUAAAGGUGGUAACAUCAAAGCCGAGUAGUACUAAUUGCCCGUAUGCUUUAAUUUUUUU
Molecule: ribosomal RNA, 176 nt
Filed under: Bacteroidota bacterium
Lineage: Bacteria; Pseudomonadati; Bacteroidota
Description: Bacteroidetes bacterium (freshwater metagenome) partial 23S ribosomal RNA
Rfam family: Bacterial large subunit ribosomal RNA
Source: RNAcentral